GAUCUGAAACAGUACAAGUUCCACGAUGCUCAAGCUUUAGUUUCAGUGAUCUUCCCAGAACUUUAGUUGCCACUUUUAGAAUCUGCUUAAAAGUUUGACAGUGGAAUAGCUUGCUGCCCUGGAGAAACCCAUCCUUGAUCCUCCCAUCCUCUGCCUCCAGCAGUGUGUUCC
This is a long non-coding RNA of Empidonax traillii (willow flycatcher), 171 nucleotides long. RefSeq lists it as uncharacterized. The transcript is spliced from 3 exons. The record is from RefSeq and is a predicted model, not a curated record. NCBI's taxonomy places the organism in Eukaryota, Metazoa, Chordata, Aves, Passeriformes, Tyrannidae.